GUGGGGAAUUUUGGACAAUGGGGGCAACCCUGAUCCAGCCAUGCCGCGUGCGGGAAGAAGGCCUUCGGGUUGUAAACCGCUUUUGUCAGGGAAGAAAUCCUUUGGGUUAAUACCUCGGAGGGAUGACGGUACCUGAAGAAUAAGCACCGGCUAACUACGUGCCAGCAGCCGCGGUAAUACGUAGGGUGCGAGCGUUAAUCGGAAUUACUGGGCGUAAAGCGUGCGCAGGCGGUUUUGUAAGAUCGAUGUGAAAUCCCCGGGCUCAACCUGGGAACUGCAUUGGUGACUGCAAGGCUGGAGUGCGGCAGAGGGGGAUGGAAUUCCGCGUGUAGCAGUGAAAUGCGUAGAUAUGCGGAGGAACACCGAUGGCGAAGGCAAUCCCCUGGGCCUGCACUGACGCUCAUGCACGAAAGCGUGGGGAGCAAACAGGAUUAGAAACCCGGUAGUCC
RNAcentral lists this ribosomal RNA (449 nucleotides) under uncultured bacterium. RNAcentral describes it as "partial 16S ribosomal RNA". It matches the Rfam family "Bacterial small subunit ribosomal RNA", at positions 354 to 796 of the family's 1533-position model. The record is from RNAcentral.